GACGAACGCUGGCGGCGUGCUUAACACAUGCAAGUCGAACGAAGAGCGAUGGAAGCUUGCUUCUAUCAAUCUUAGUGGCGAACGGGUGAGUAACGCGUAAUCAACCUGCCCUUCAGAGGGGGACAACAGUUGGAAACGACUGCUAAUACCGCAUACGAUCUAACCUCGGCAUCGAGGAAAGAUGAAAGGUGGCCUCUAUGUAUAAGCUAUCACUGAAGGAGGGGAUUGCGUCUGAUUAGCUAGUUGGAGGGGUAACGGCCCACCAAGGCGAUGAUCAGUAGCCGGUCUGAGAGGAUGAACGGCCACAUUGGGACUGAGACACGGCCCAGACUCCUACGGGAGGCAGCAGUGGGGAAUCUUCCGCAAUGGACGAAAGUCUGACGGAGCAACGCCGCGUGAGUGAUGACGGCCUUCGGGUUGUAAAGCUCUGUUAAUCGGGACGAGAGGCCUUCUUGCGAAUAGUGAGAAGGAUUGACGGUACCGGAAUAGAAAGCCACGGCUAACUACGUG
RNAcentral lists this ribosomal RNA (510 nucleotides) under uncultured bacterium. RNAcentral's name for it is "partial 16S ribosomal RNA". It matches the Rfam family "Bacterial small subunit ribosomal RNA", at positions 28 to 507 of the family's 1533-position model. The record is from RNAcentral.